This 253-nucleotide ribosomal RNA is filed under the name uncultured bacterium. RNAcentral's name for it is "partial 16S ribosomal RNA". It matches the Rfam family "Bacterial small subunit ribosomal RNA", at positions 524 to 776 of the family's 1533-position model. The record is from RNAcentral.
UACGUAGGGUGCGAGCGUUGUCCGGAAUUACUGGGCGUAAAGAGCUCGUAGGUGGUUUGUCGCGUUGUUCGUGAAAACCGGGGGCUUAACCCUCGGCGUGCGGGCGAUACGGGCAGACUUGAGUACUGCAGGGGAGACUGGAAUUCCUGGUGUAGCGGUGGAAUGCGCAGAUAUCAGGAGGAAUACCGGUGGCGAAAGCGACUCUCUGGACGGCAACUGACGCUGAGGCACGAAAGCGUGGGGAGCAAACAGG